RNAcentral lists this ribosomal RNA (253 nucleotides) under uncultured bacterium. Its description in RNAcentral is "partial 16S ribosomal RNA". It matches the Rfam family "Bacterial small subunit ribosomal RNA", at positions 524 to 776 of the family's 1533-position model. The record is from RNAcentral.
UCCGUAGGGUGCAGGCGUUAAUCGGAAUUACUGGGCGUAAAGCGUGCGCAGGCGGUUAUGUAAGACAGUUGUGAAAUCCCCGGGCUCAACCUGGGAACUGCAUCUGUGACUGCAUAGCUAGAGUACGGUAGAGGGGGAUGGAAUUCCGCGUGUAGCAGUGAAAUGCGUAGAUAUGCGGAGGAACACCGAUGGCGAAGGCAAUCCCCUGGACCUGUACUGACGCUCAUGCACGAAAGCGUGGGGAGCAAACAGG